Gorilla gorilla gorilla (western lowland gorilla) is the source of this 97-nucleotide microRNA precursor. Ensembl annotates it as microRNA 634. Its record names the gene MIR634. Lineage: Eukaryota; Metazoa; Chordata; Mammalia; Primates; Hominidae. The record is from Ensembl.
AAACCCACACCACUGCAUUUUGGCCAUCGAGGGUUGGGGCUUGGUGUCAUGCCCCAAGAUAACCAGCACCCCAACUUUGGACAGCAUGGAUUAGUCU